AACAGCAUCAUCUUUCAACCAACAAACAGUCUGGUAUAAACUGAAUAAGCAUCAUCAUCUCUCAACCAACAGACCGUCUGGCAUAUAUUGAAUAAGCAUCAUCAUCUUUAAACCAACAAACAGUCUGGCAUAUACCUAAUUAGCAUCAUCAUCUUUCAACCAACAACAGUCUUGCAUAUAUACUGAAUAAGCAUCAUACUCUUUCAACCAACGAGAAGUCUGGCUUAUACCGAAUUUAGCAUCAUCAUCUGUCAACCAACAAACACUCUGGCAUUUACUGAAUUAGCAUAAUCAUCUCUCUACCAACAAACAGCCUGGCUUAUACUGAAUAAGCACCAUUUCUCUUAACAUACAAUAGUCUGGCAUAUACUGAAUUAGCAUCAUCAUCUCUCAACUAACAAACAGCAUAGUGUGUACUGAAUUAGCAUCUUCAUCUCGAAACCAACUAGCAGUCUGGCAUAUAUUGAACAAGCCUCAUCAUCUCUCUACCAACAAACAGUCUGGCAUAUACUGAAAUAGCAAAAUCAUCUCUCAACCAACAAACAGUCUGGCAUAUACUGAAUUAGUAUCAUCUUUCAACCAACAAACAGUCUGACAUAUACUGAAUAAGCAUCAUCAUCUUUCAACCAGCAAACAGUCAGGCAUAUACCUAAUUAGCAUCAUCAUCUUUCAACCAACAAACAGUCUGGCAUAUACCUAAUUAGCAUCAUCAUCUUUCAACCAACAAACAGUCUGGCAUAAACUAAACAAGGAACAUUAUCUCUUAACCAAGUAACAGUCUGGCAUAUAUUCCAUUAGCAUUAUCUUCUAUACCAACAAACAGUCUGGGAUGUACUAAAUGACUAUCCUCAUGUCUCAACCAACAAACAGUCUGGUAUAUAUAAAUUCAGCAUCUUCAUCUCUCAACCAACAAACAAUCUGGUACAUACUGAAUUAACAUCAUCAUCUCUUUACGAACAAACAGUCUGGCAUAUACCGAAUUACCAGCCUGGUGGGUACUGAAUCAACAUCAUGAUCUCUUAAGCUAAAAACAGCCUAAUGUGUACUGAACUAGCAUCAUCAUAUCUCCAACUACUGACAGCAUGGUGUGAUCUGAAUCAACAUUAGCACAUCUCAUUAUUAGACAUACUUGUGUGAACUGAAUCAGCCUUCUCAUCUCUCCAUGACAGAUAACCAUGUUUAAAUUUCAUCAGCAUCAUCAUCUCUCAGCCAACAGACAAUCUAGUAUCGACUUAAUAAGCCUACACAUCUCUCCACCAACAGACAGCCUGGUCUAAACUGGAACAGCCUUUUAAUCUAAAAACUAACAGCCAGCCUGGUCUGUACGGAAUCAGCAUCCUCAUCGCUCCAUUUACAGAUAGCCUGGUGUGUACUGAUACAGACCUCCAUAUCUCGUGAUCAACAGAUAUCAUGGUUUGUACUGAAACAGCUUUUCAUCUAUCAACCAACAAACAACCUGGUGUGUUAUUAAUCAGCAUCAUCAUCCCUCCACCAACAGAAAAAACAGCUGAAGCCAACAAGAAUUGACUUUUAGGAAUGAUGUUUGUGCCAUAUGAUAAGUAACAACUACUUAAGUUUAUUUUUCCUACACUUUUAGUUGUGACCUGCAGCAGAUAUUUUAGUCAAUAUUUCACCAUUGUAAAGCCCUGCAGCUGAAGAG
Mytilus trossulus (common blue mussel) is the source of this 1660-nucleotide long non-coding RNA. RefSeq lists it as uncharacterized. The transcript is spliced from 3 exons. The record is from RefSeq and is a predicted model, not a curated record. Lineage: Eukaryota; Metazoa; Mollusca; Bivalvia; Mytilida; Mytilidae.